This 1119-nucleotide long non-coding RNA is filed under the name Vulpes vulpes (red fox). RNAcentral describes it as "lncRNA (ENSVVUG00000007802.1)". The record is from RNAcentral. Lineage: Eukaryota; Metazoa; Chordata; Mammalia; Carnivora; Canidae.
AAAAUAUGUCCUGAGUUUUUAUUUAGAAGAGAGAGGAAGAACUUCGCCGGGGCAGAGCAGAGGAGGCGGACCUUCCGUGCGGGGCGACACACUGACCGUAACUGUCCGCAGUUCACCCCUGGGAGCUUUGUCUCCCUACAGGAGCCCCAGCGUUCCUUCCAACCACAUCAGUAUUCUUCAAUGAGAAGUUUUCCUGAUACAUUUUUUUCAAGAUUUAUCACCACCUCUCUUCCUGGGCCGCUGGCUGCUGUACGGGCCUCACCUCCUGGGACACUCGCACAUGUAGAGGCCUCACCUCCUGGGACACUCGCAGAUGUAGAGGCCUCACCUCCUGGGACACUGGCCGCUGCCCCAAGGCCACCAGGUAAGGUGCUGCCAGCUGCAGGACACAUGCGGCCCAGCUGGGCUGCAAAUGCGAGCUGGCCUGCAUGUCCCCUGAAGUCCUGUGUUGUCUCAGAAUCGGCUCCCCCGCGGCCCCCCUGCAGCGUCCGAGGCAGCGGGAGCCGGGGUGGCUUCUCGAGGGCCCGGACACCAGGAGCAAGGCCGGAGCCGGACUUCUGUUACUCCGGCAGGACACAGGCUGCCCGGUGCGCGUGCAAGGAGCCGGCAGGCCGAGUGACUGGAGGCAGCGCUGCGUGCAUGCAGAAACUCUGUGCUCGGGAUAUUUCCCAGCAGCGUGUGCGCGCCUGGUUCCCGUUUUCCAAAGGACCAUAGUUGCCCCUCGGGCGACACGCCCCGUCCCCCUCUGUAGGCGCAGGUGCCGCUGGACUCCGGACGCGGCUCAGGAGCCGGAGCUUAAUGUAGUCGGAGGCGACGAAACACCAGGACUUCUGCUGAGGAAAGGAAGCUUCCAGGCUCCUCCAGAAGUCGGGGAGUGAGGUGGUGACAUCUGGAGCCACUGCAGCCAUUUCACCACCACGGCGGGGAGUCCAGCGCUGUGGGUUUGCCUGUGGGGACUCUGAGGGUGAAUCCAAGAGGGGAAAAGAUGAUGCAGAGGAAGCCUGGGUCCCCGGUGCCAGCCCUUAGCCUGCGGGGCAGCCUCUCGAUCUCCACAGGAACUUCCCCUAAAGCUGUUUUCUGUUCUGGGAUCCCAUAAACCCCUUUGUAGGGUGAGCCGAC